This 229-nucleotide ribosomal RNA is filed under the name uncultured bacterium. Its description in RNAcentral is "partial 16S ribosomal RNA". It matches the Rfam family "Bacterial small subunit ribosomal RNA", at positions 118 to 345 of the family's 1533-position model. The record is from RNAcentral.
UGAGGAACAUGACCUUCGGCGGGGGAUAGCCGGCCCAACGGCCGGGUAAUACCGCGUACGACCACAUGGGGACAUCCCUGAGUGGUGAAAGCAGCAAUGCGCCGAUGGAGUGCCUCGCGGCCUAUCAGCUUGUUGGUGAGGUAACGGCUCACCAAGGCGUCGACAGGUAGCUGGUCUGAGAGGAUGGCCAGCCACAUUGGGACUGAGACACGGCCCAGAUCCGUACGGG